Molecule: ribosomal RNA, 430 nt
Filed under: uncultured bacterium
Lineage: Bacteria
Description: bacterial SSU rRNA
Rfam family: Bacterial small subunit ribosomal RNA
Source: RNAcentral
UGGGGAAUUUUUCGCAAUGGGGGAAACCCUGACGAAGCAACGCCGCGUGGAGGAUGAAGGCCUUCGGGUCGUAAACUCCUGUCGACCGGGACGAACGCUACGGGAGCCAAUACCUCCUGUAGUCGACUGUACCGGUGGAGGAAGCCACGGCUAACUCUGUGCCAGCAGCCGCGGUAAUACAGAGGUGGCAAGCGUUGUUCGGAAUUACUGGGCGUAAAGGGCGCGUAGGCGGCCUUGUAAGUCCUGUGUGAAAUCCCCCGGCUCAACUGGGGAACUGCACAGGAGACUGCAUGGCUUGAGUUCGGGAGAGGGAAGCGGAAUUCCGGGUGUAGCGGUGAAAUGCGUAGAUAUCCGGAGGAACACCGGUGGCGAAGGCGGCUUCCUGGACCGACACUGACGCUGAGGCGCGAAAGCCAGGGGAGCAAACGGG